UUUUGUGACUACCUGUAACAUCUGAGUAUGCUCGUCAGAAGUCACUCCGAGGAAAAAUCUGAUUAUUAGUUGGGAAAAUGGGGCAAGGAGGAGGCAGAGAAGAGAAGUAGCUCUGCUGGGUAUGUGGCAGUGUGACUUCUAGAACUGUUUGUGAGCUCUCGUGGCCGAAUGGAAUGAAGCGAAGCCUUCAUGUCAGCAUUGGGCUUGCAGGUGCUGAGCCCCCGAUGGUGGCCCCUCUUCCCGGCUUUCUCUCAGGGGCAUGGGUGGGGUGGAGAUAUUCAACUACUUCCAACGGAAACCAACACUUGAAAGGUUAUGAAGGCCCCUAAACCUCCUGCUCUUCCAUGGUGAUGGCUGACAGCUAAAGCCACACUGCCACUACCCUAAGCCCAAGCUUGAUCACCUGGAAAUGGGGACUGAGAGAGGACGAGAACAGCACAGCCUUUGAGCUCUCAUGGGGUGGCGUAAAUUUAUGGUCAAUAUGCCUCCAGAUCAGAGGUCCUGCUGUUAGAGAGUUUUCUUUUUUUGCUUUAGUGGUACACAGGAAUUCUCCCCCAGCCCCCUCAAGAUACUCACACAUCUUUUUAAAAUUUGCACCUUUUUUUCAGUCUGGUUUCCUAUGGUGAAGGGGAGGCUAGGAAAUGCCCAAUAAAUCAUCUGUCUGUCUUCACUCAAUUGAAAGGCAGGAAAUGCAGAGAACAGUCACGUUACCUUUCCACUUUGCAUAUAACAAGAGCUAUCAGGACCUGUUCCUUUGAAGGGGAGGCCCUUCUGACAGCAAUAUUAAAUUUUCGAGGCCACUGGAGUUUGUUUCUUGGGACCAGACCCAAAGUGGGCAGGCAUGUGGGAUGUUGGCUCUUUCCCCUACCAGCCCCUUCUAGGAGUAACUUCUUGGGCUUACCCUGGGAAAUCUACUCAGUCAGCAAUGAUUUAGGGGCUCCAUGUGCACAGCACCAUUGUAAGUCUAUGUGGAUUAAAGGAAUUCUACUCUUGAGUCCUAAUUCUUAACAAAUUUACAUCUGUAGUUGGUGCAACAGCUAACCCAUGUACAUAAAAUAAUGACCCCAUACA
RNAcentral lists this long non-coding RNA (1071 nucleotides) under Homo sapiens (human). RNAcentral describes it as "HSALNT0212505". Lineage: Eukaryota; Metazoa; Chordata; Mammalia; Primates; Hominidae. The record is from RNAcentral.